CCUACGGGAGGCAGCAGUGAGGAAUAUUGGUCAAUGGGCGAGAGCCUGAACCAGCCAAGUCGCGUGAAGGAUGACGGCCCUACGGGUUGUAAACUUCUUUUGUCAGGGAGCAAUUGAGUCCACGUGUGGUCUUAGCGAGAGUACCUGAAGAAAAAGCAUCGGCUAACUCCGUGCCAGCAGCCGCGGUAAUACGGAGGAUGCGAGCGUUAUCCGGAUUUACUGGGUGUAAAGGGAGCGUAGACGGCCAUGCAAGUCUGAUGUGAAAACCCGGGGCUCAACCCCGGGACUGCAUUGGAAACUGUGCGGCUGGAGUGUCGGAGAGGCAAGUGGAAUUCCUAGUGUAGCGGUGAAAUGCGUAGAUAUUAGGAGGAACACCAGUGGCGAAGGCGGCUUGCUGGACGACGACUGACGUUGAGGCUCGAAAGCGUGGGGAGCAAACAGGAUUAGAUACCCCUGUAGUC
RNAcentral lists this ribosomal RNA (461 nucleotides) under uncultured bacterium. RNAcentral's name for it is "partial 16S ribosomal RNA". It matches the Rfam family "Bacterial small subunit ribosomal RNA", at positions 338 to 795 of the family's 1533-position model. The record is from RNAcentral.